This 468-nucleotide ribosomal RNA is filed under the name uncultured bacterium. RNAcentral describes it as "partial 16S ribosomal RNA". It matches the Rfam family "Bacterial small subunit ribosomal RNA", at positions 28 to 507 of the family's 1533-position model. The record is from RNAcentral.
GACGAACGCUGGCGGCGUGCUUAACACAUGCCAGUCGAACGGUAAGGCCCUGCUUUUGUGGGUUGCUCGAGUGGCGAACGGGUGAGUAACACGUGAGUUACCUGCCCUUGACUUUUGUAUUACUUCAGGAAACUGGGGCUAAUACCGUAUAGGAGCUCCUGCUUCUUGGUGGGGGUUGGUAUGUUUCGGCGGUUGGGGAUGGACUCGCGGCUUAUCAGCUUGUUGGUGGGGUAGUGGCUUACCAAGGCUUUGACGGGUAGACGGCCUGAGAGGGUGACCGGCAACAUUGGGACUGAGAUAAGGCCCAGACUCCUACGGGAGGCAGCAGUGGGGAAUAUUGCAAAAUGGGCGGAAGCCUGAUGCAGCAACGCCGCGUGCGGGAUGACGGCCUUCGGGUUGUAAACCGCUUUCGCCUGUGACGAAGCGUGAGUGACGGUAAUGGGUAAAGAAGCACCGGCUAACUACGUG